Long non-coding RNA from Lucilia cuprina (Australian sheep blowfly), 524 nucleotides. RefSeq lists it as uncharacterized. The transcript has 2 exons. Lineage: Eukaryota; Metazoa; Arthropoda; Insecta; Diptera; Calliphoridae. The record is from RefSeq and is a predicted model, not a curated record.
UUCGGCAUUGAAUGCGGGUGGUUCAUGUUAAUAUUCGAACACAACAAAAAUAUCGCAACGCUUUGAAAUAUUUUUAAACUAAAACUGUUUUUUACAAGUUUUUUUUACGAUUUUUGUCGUCAUUUUAAAAGCCAAGUAAAAUUUACAACAGAAUUUGUAAAUGUUUUUCUUAGACGUAGUAGUAGUUGUUGUGUGUGUAUGUGAUCUUUUUUACUACCCAAAUAAAUCUGUAUUUUGUUACUUUUAAUGUUUGUGUGCCAAAAACAAAAAAAAAUUCAAUAAACAUUUUGUAUUAAUGGCUCUCUUUUGAAUCAAUGAUGAUUAUAAUUACGAGUCUUACAAGUGAAAUCUAAUUAUAAAAAAACACAUAAAUAUUUUAUGUGUGAAGUGGCAAAUAAACAAAUCUUUACAGAAAAUUCAAUUAAAAACAUAAAAAAAAUAUUUAUAAGGAAAUAUAAACAACUUAAUAAGGAUAAAUGGAUUUUUGUAACAUCAAACGGAAAUCAUUAAAAGUAAAUUAAAAG